Molecule: ribosomal RNA, 445 nt
Filed under: Mellita sp. RCMBAR1079
Lineage: Eukaryota; Metazoa; Echinodermata; Echinoidea; Clypeasteroida; Mellitidae
Description: partial 16S ribosomal RNA
Rfam family: Bacterial large subunit ribosomal RNA (bases 46-445)
Source: RNAcentral
AAGACGGAACUUAACUGUCUCCUUUUCUCAUAUCCUAAUUUCACUUUCCCGUGAAGAGGCGGGAAAACAUUCGCUAGACGAGAAGACCCUGUCGAGCUUAAGCAGAACGCUAAUUUCUAGUUCCUCUUAAUUACAUUCUAAUUUUUUUUCUGUUAAAUUUAACUAAGAGAAAAUUAUUAGUACAAGCUUUGGUUGGGGCAACCACGGAGAAGAAAAAUCCUCCGCUUACAACAGAUAAAAACAAGACCCUACAAGUCUAAUAUUGUAUAAACAAGUCAACUGAUCCACCACGGUGAUCAAAGGAAAAAGUUACCGCAGGGAUAACAGCGUUAUCUUUUCUGAGAGUUCACAUUGACGAAAAGGUUUGCGACCUCGAUGUUGGAUCGGGACAUCCUAAGGGUGCAGAAGCUUUUAAGGGUUGGUCUGUUCGACCAUUUAAAGUCCU